RNAcentral lists this ribosomal RNA (432 nucleotides) under uncultured bacterium. Its description in RNAcentral is "partial 16S ribosomal RNA". It matches the Rfam family "Bacterial small subunit ribosomal RNA", at positions 29 to 506 of the family's 1533-position model. The record is from RNAcentral.
AGCGAACGCUGGCGGCAGGCCUAACACAUGCAAGUCGAACGAACUCUUCGGAGUUAGUGGCGGACGGGUGAGUAACACGUGGGAACGUGCCUUUUGGUUCGGAAUAACUCAGGGAAACUUGUGCUAAUACCGAAUGUGCCCUUCGGGGGAAAGAUUUAUCGCCAUUGGAGCGGCCCGCGUCUGAUUAGCUAGUUGGUGAGGUAACGGCUCACCAAGGCGCCGAUCAGUAGCUGGUCUGAGAGGAUGCCCAGCCACACUGGGACGGAGACACGGCCCAGACUCCCACGGGGGGCAGCAGUGGGGAAUCUGGCGAAAGGGGGGAAAGCCGGACGCACCCAGGCCGGGGAAAUGAUGAAGGUCUUAGGAUUGUAAAAUUCUUUCACCGGGGACGAUAAGGCCGGGACCCGGGGAAGAAGCCCCGGCAAACUUCGU